Molecule: ribosomal RNA, 647 nt
Filed under: Escherichia coli
Lineage: Bacteria; Pseudomonadati; Pseudomonadota; Gammaproteobacteria; Enterobacterales; Enterobacteriaceae
Description: partial 23S ribosomal RNA
Rfam family: Bacterial large subunit ribosomal RNA
Source: RNAcentral
AGCAAUCUGUGUGACUGCGUACCUUUUGUAUAAUGGGUCAGCGACUUAUAUUCUGUAGCAAGGUUAACCGAAUAGGGGAGCCGAAGGGAAACCGAGUCUUAACUGGGCGUUAAGUUGCAGGGUAUAGACCCGAAACCCGGUGAUCUAGCCAUGGGCAGGUUGAAGGUUGGGUAACACUAACUGGAGGACCGAACCGACUAAUGUUGAAAAAUUAGCGGAUGACUUGUGGCUGGGGGUGAAAGGCCAAUCAAACCGGGAGAUAGCUGGUUCUCCCCGAAAGCUAUUUAGGUAGCGCCUCGUGAAUUCAUCUCCGGGGGUAGAGCACUGUUUCGGCAAGGGGGUCAUCCCGACUUACCAACCCGAUGCAAACUGCGAAUACCGGAGAAUGUUAUCACGGGAGACACACGGCGGGUGCUAACGUCCGUCGUGAAGAGGGAAACAACCCAGACCGCCAGCUAAGGUCCCAAAGUCAUGGUUAAGUGGGAAACGAUGUGGGAAGGCCCAGACAGCCAGGAUGUUGGCUUAGAAGCAGCCAUCAUUUAAAGAAAGCGUAAUAGCUCACUGGUCGAGUCGGCCUGCGCGGAAGAUGUAACGGGGCUAAACCAUGCACCGAAGCUGCGGCAGCGACGCUUAUGCGUUGUUGGGUA